GAGUUUGAUCAUGGCUCAGGAUGAACGCUGGCGGCGUGCCUAAUACAUGCAAGUCGAGCGAACUGAUUAGAAGCUUGCUUCUAUGACGUUAGCGGCGGACGGGUGAGUAACACGUGGGCAACCUGCCUGUAAGACUGGGAUAACUUCGGGAAACCGAAGCUAAUACCGGAUAGGAUCUUCUCCUUCAUGGGAGAUGAUUGAAAGAUGGUUUUGGCUAUCACUUACAGAUGGGCCCGCGGUGCAUUAGCUAGUUGGUGAGGUAACGGCUCACCAAGGCAACGAUGCAUAGCCGACCUGAGAGGGUGAUCGGCCACACUGGGACUGAGACACGGCCCAGACUCCUACGGGAGCAGCAGUAGGAAUCUUCCGCAAUGGACGAAAGUCUGACGGAGCAACGCCGCGUGAGUGAUGAAGGCUUUCGGGUCGUAAAACUCUGUUGUUAGGGAAGAACAAGUACAAGAGUAACUGCUUGUACCUUGACGGUACCUAACCAGAAAGCCACGGCUAACUAC
This 512-nucleotide ribosomal RNA is filed under the name uncultured Bacillus sp. Its description in RNAcentral is "bacterial SSU rRNA". It matches the Rfam family "Bacterial small subunit ribosomal RNA", at positions 9 to 504 of the family's 1533-position model. Lineage: Bacteria; Bacillati; Bacillota; Bacilli; Caryophanales; Bacillaceae. The record is from RNAcentral.